AGUGAACGCUGGCGGUAGGCCUAACACAUGCAAGUCGAACGGCAGCACAGUAAGAGCUUGCUCUUACGGGUGGCGAGUGGCGGACGGGUGAGGAAUACAUCGGAAUCUACUUUUUCGGGGGGGAUAACGUAGGGAAACUUACGCUAAUACCGCAUACGACCUACGGGGGUAAGCAGGGGAUCGUCGGACCUUGCGCGAUUGAAUGAGCCGAUGUCGGAUUAGCUAGUUGGCGGGGUAAAGGCCCACCAAGGCGGGUAUCCGUAGCUGGUCUGAGAGGAUGAUCACCCACCCUGGAACGGAGCCACGGUCCAGACUCCUACGGGAGGCAGCAGUGGGGAAUAUUAGGCAAUGGUCGCGAGCCUGAUCCAGCCAUACCGCGUGGGUGAAGAAGGCGUUCGGGUUGUAAAGCCCUUUUGUUGGUAAAGAAAAGCAGCAGGUUAAUACCCCGCUGUUCUGACGGUACCCAGAGAAUAAGCACCGGCUAACUUCGUG
This 492-nucleotide ribosomal RNA is filed under the name uncultured bacterium. RNAcentral's name for it is "partial 16S ribosomal RNA". It matches the Rfam family "Bacterial small subunit ribosomal RNA", at positions 29 to 507 of the family's 1533-position model. The record is from RNAcentral.